RNAcentral lists this ribosomal RNA (254 nucleotides) under uncultured bacterium. Its description in RNAcentral is "partial 16S ribosomal RNA". It matches the Rfam family "Bacterial small subunit ribosomal RNA", at positions 524 to 777 of the family's 1533-position model. The record is from RNAcentral.
UACGGGGGGAGCAAGCGUUGUUCGGAUUUACUGGGCGUAAAGAGCGCGCAGGCGGUCGAUCAAGUCGCGUGUGAAAGCCCCCGGCUCAACUGGGGAGGGUCACGCGAUACUGAUCGACUCGAAGGCAGGAGAGGGUAGUGGAAUUCCCGGUGUAGUGGUGAAAUGCGUAGAUAUCGGGAGGAACACCAGUGGCGAAGGCGACUACCUGGCCUGUUCUUGACGCUGAGGCGCGAAAGCUAGGGGAGCAAACGGGG